This 446-nucleotide ribosomal RNA is filed under the name uncultured bacterium. RNAcentral describes it as "bacterial SSU rRNA". It matches the Rfam family "Bacterial small subunit ribosomal RNA", at positions 29 to 517 of the family's 1533-position model. The record is from RNAcentral.
AGCGAACGCUGGCGGCAGGCCUAACACAUGCAAGUCGAACGGCCCUUCGGGGUAGUGGCGGACGGGUGAGUAACGCGUGGGAAUGUGCCCUUUGGUACGGAACAACUGAGGGAAACUUCAGCUAAUACCGUAUGUGCCCUUCGGGGAAAGAUUUAUCGCCAUUGGAGCAGCCCGCGUUGGAUUAGGUAGUUGGUGGGGUAAAGGCCUACCAAGCCUACGAUCCAUAGCUGGUCUGAGAGGAUGAUCAGCCACAUUGGGACUGAGACACGGCCCAAACUCCUACGGGAGGCAGCAGUGGGGAAUUUUACGCAAUGGGGGGAAACCCUGACGUAGCGACACCGCGUGAGCGAAGAAGCCCUUUGGGGUGUAAAGCUCUGUCAACAGGAACGAAAAAAUAGACGGUACCGUGUGGAGGAAGCAUCGGCUAACUAACGUGCCAGCAGCCG